CCAGCUUCUUUUGCAGCAGUCCGGAGGACGCUAAACACUGCACGGAUUGCUCCGCCUUUUCUCUCCGGAGAGAGCUUUAGUUGGGGGGGGGGCUUUUUAAGGGGGGGGGCGGCGAGAGGGGCGUCCCUCUUUCUAUUUUUCUAUGAAAUUUAAAAAGAAAAAGAAUCACUCGUGUGCUUAAGAUAUUCAACGCUCAAAAAUCUAGACCCUUAUGGGAAAUAGCAACUCCAGACAACCCAAUAAUUGAAAGAUGAAGGUGAGAAACGCAAGAUCACUAUCGCCCAUCUCCUCCCGCUUAUGACUGCCUGACUGUAACUUUGUUCCUUGUACCCUUACGAUUUAUAUUGAUUGCUUCCUAGUAUGAUUUGAUUGCUUAUUUGUACCCUAUGACUAUCAUUAAAUGUUGUACCUUAUGAUUCUUGACAAAUGUAUCUUGUCUUUUUAUAUACACUGAGAGCAUAUGCACCAAAGACAAAUUCCUUGUGUGUCCAAUCACACUUGGCCAAUAAAGAAUUCUAUUCUAUUCUAUUCUAUUCUAUUCUAUUCCAUUCCAUUCCAUUCCAUUCCACUCCAUUCCACUCCACUCCACUCCACACUCCACUCCACUCCUUAUUCUAUUCCUUAUUCUGUCCUGUCCUGUCCUGUCCUAUCCUAUCACCGUAACAUUUCUGGAGUGACAAAACAAUGCAAGUAAAACAUGAAGAAGUAGCAUUCUUUAGCAUGGCU
Molecule: non-coding RNA, 726 nt
Organism: Pantherophis guttatus
Lineage: Eukaryota; Metazoa; Chordata; Lepidosauria; Squamata; Colubridae
Source: RefSeq, a predicted model, not a curated record